UCAGAAGUGCCAGAGCCCCAGCCGGCAGUCGUCACUACUGGAGCCUUUGAAGAGCUCAGACAACAGGUCGCCACACUGACUCAGCUGCUAAGUCAAAGAAAUUCGCAUCCGUCACCCACACCGGCACCCCAGGGGGGUUUUAUGGCUGAUGCUCGAGCUCGAGCUCAUGUCCCUGACAAUGGCGGAGCAGGGGCCUCGGGUAUACCACAUGUGACCUCGGCCUCGAGAUCAGUGACCAUGGAGUCCGGGGAACUCGCUAGGAUUAUUCAAGAAGGAAUUACGGCGGGCCUACUUCAGGGCAACAAAGGGACGACAAGAUUCAGUCCCAACACUCCAUUUACUCUCGAGAUAUUAACAUUCCCCUUGCCAGACAGAUUUAAGUAUCCCAGGAUCAAAGAAUAUGAUGGGACCACCGAUCCAAUCAAUCAUCUGAACAUAUACACGGACGUCAUGAAUCUACAGGUUGCACCAGAUCAGGUGAUGUG
Molecule: long non-coding RNA, 485 nt
Filed under: Olea europaea (common olive)
Lineage: Eukaryota; Viridiplantae; Streptophyta; Magnoliopsida; Lamiales; Oleaceae
Description: long non-coding RNA (OEUR_LNC001601)
Source: RNAcentral